UCCACCCAUAAGCAGAUGGCCUCCCGCCCCCGCCCCCAGGAGGAUUUCUCAAUGGGGUGAAAAUGCCAGCCCCGGAGCCAGGGUCCCCGGACCCCCGGGGCGGAGCUGGGCGCCGGAGCCUGGGGACCGCGGCCGCCGAGCUGGAAGAAGUGGAGGAGAGAUCUACACAACUUAAGUGGGGCAACCUCCUCCCAUUUUCCUGCUCACCCACCUUGGCCCCAAUUCCAUCUCUGGGACACCCUGACCCCCCCAAAAAAGAAGUCACCCCUGGGUUCUGUCUGCAGAGAGCCAGGGUGAGACCGGGCAAGGCAAGCGAGCGACCUCAGUCGUGGGCAAGUAGCUUGUUUUUACGUCCUUCAAUAAAAAUUUUAUGAGGAUCA
Myotis myotis is the source of this 380-nucleotide long non-coding RNA. RefSeq lists it as uncharacterized. Lineage: Eukaryota; Metazoa; Chordata; Mammalia; Chiroptera; Vespertilionidae. The transcript is spliced from 2 exons. The record is from RefSeq and is a predicted model, not a curated record.